RNAcentral lists this ribosomal RNA (440 nucleotides) under uncultured bacterium. RNAcentral's name for it is "partial 16S ribosomal RNA". It matches the Rfam family "Bacterial small subunit ribosomal RNA", at positions 338 to 795 of the family's 1533-position model. The record is from RNAcentral.
CCUACGGGAGGCAGCAGUGGGGGAUAUUGCACAAUGGGCGAAACCCUGAUGCAGCGACGCCGCGUGUGGGAAGACGGUCCUCUGGAUUGUAAACCACUGUCCCCAGGGACGAAGAUGACGGUACCUGGGGAGGAAGCUCCGGCUAACUACGUGCCAGCAGCCGCGGUAAUACUUAGGGAGCGAGCGUUGUCGGUAAUUACUGGGUGUAAAGGGAGCGUAGGCGGGAAUGAAAGUUGGGUGUCAAAACUACCGGCUCAACUGGUAGUCGAAAUCUAAACUGCAGAACUCGAGAGAAGUAGAGGCAGGCGGAAUUCCUAGUGUAGCGGUGAAAUGCGUAGAUAUUAGGAGGAACACCAGUGGCGAAGGCGGCCUGCUGGGCUUUUUCUGACGCUGAGGCUCGAAAGUGUGGGGAGCAAACAGGAUUAGAUACCCGUGUAGUC